Molecule: long non-coding RNA, 256 nt
Organism: Hordeum vulgare subsp. vulgare (domesticated barley)
Lineage: Eukaryota; Viridiplantae; Streptophyta; Magnoliopsida; Poales; Poaceae
Exons: 2
Source: RefSeq, a predicted model, not a curated record
AUAGAAAUCUCCAUGCUUUUCAAGUGUUGUAAUUUGCUAGAGGUUGCUCUUUUCGCCUCUGCAUCACUAGCAUUGUUGCUCAAAACAUGUUGCCACGCGGAUGCUCUUUGGACUAUGAUAUGGACAUGAAGACAUUUGUUUUAGUGCCAAAUAUUACUUCCUAAUGCCCGCAAAGUAUCGUUGUGUAUUAUAUUUGCUAUGGAGCUAUGUAUGUAUGGAUGCUAUGGAACUAUAUGUAUAUAUGGAUGCUAUGGAA